GAUGAACGCUGGCGGCGUGCCUAAUACAUGCAAGUCGAGCGAACAGACGAGGAGCUUGCUCCUCUGACGUUAGCGGCGGACGGGUGAGUAACACGUGGAUAACCUACCUAUAAGACUGGGAUAACUUCGGGAAACCGGAGCUAAUACCGGAUAAUAUAUUGAACCGCAUGGUUCAAUAGUGAAAGACGGUUUUGCUGUCACUUAUAGAUGGAUCCGCGCCGCAUUAGCUAGUUGGUAAGGUAACGGCUUACCAAGGCAACGAUGCGUAGCCGACCUGAGAGGGUGAUAGGCCACACUGGAACGGAGACACGGACCAGACUCCUACGGGAGGCAGCAGUAGGGAAUCUUCCGCAAUGGGCGAAAGCCUGACGGAGCAACGCCGCGUGAGUGAUGAAGGUCUUCGGAUCGUAAAACUCUGUUAUUAGGGAAGAACAAAUGUGUAAGUAACUAUGCACGUCUUGACGGUACCUAAUCAGAAAGCCACGGCUAACUACGUG
This 497-nucleotide ribosomal RNA is filed under the name uncultured bacterium. Its description in RNAcentral is "partial 16S ribosomal RNA". It matches the Rfam family "Bacterial small subunit ribosomal RNA", at positions 28 to 507 of the family's 1533-position model. The record is from RNAcentral.